RNAcentral lists this ribosomal RNA (254 nucleotides) under uncultured Singulisphaera sp. Its description in RNAcentral is "partial 16S ribosomal RNA". It matches the Rfam family "Bacterial small subunit ribosomal RNA", at positions 524 to 776 of the family's 1533-position model. Lineage: Bacteria; Pseudomonadati; Planctomycetota; Planctomycetia; Isosphaerales; Isosphaeraceae. The record is from RNAcentral.
GACGAACCGUGCGAACGUUAUUCGGAAUCACUGGGCUUAAAGCGCGUGUAGGCGGGUCGGCGCGUCGGAUGCUGAAAUCCCCCGGCUCAACCGGGGAACGGGCACCGAAACGGCCGUCCUGGAGGGGGGUAGGGGGCGCUGGAACUCACGGUGGAGCGGUGAAAUGCGUUGAGAUCGUGAGGAACGCCCGCGGCGAAAGCGAGCGCCUGGACCCUUUCUGACGCUGAGACGCGAAAGCCAGGGGAGCGAACGGG